UGUUAAAAAUUUCAUCAAUCUGUACAGUUAAAAAUUGGCGUGGCUAACAGAAUAACCAGGCAGUGAAACAUGACAUGUUACGUGUACAUCAUGUUGACGUACAAGGACUGGUUGUGAAUAAUAAAAUUGGAUGAAAUUUUUAACA
This is a non-coding RNA of Gossypium raimondii (Peruvian cotton), 145 nucleotides long. The record is from Rfam. NCBI's taxonomy places the organism in Eukaryota, Viridiplantae, Streptophyta, Magnoliopsida, Malvales, Malvaceae.